GAUGAACGCUGGCGGCGUGCCUAAUACAUGCAAGUCGAGCGAACGGACGAGAAGCUUGCUUCUCUGAUGUUAGCGGCGGACGGGUGAGUAACACGUGGAUAACCUACCUAUAAGACUGGGAUAACUUCGGGAAACCGGAGCUAAUACCGGAUAAUAUUUUGAACCGCAUGGUUCAAAAGUGAAAGACGGUCUUGCUGUCACUUAUAGAUGGAUCCGCGCUGCAUUAGCUAGUUGGUAAGGUAACGGCUUACCAAGGCAACGAUGCAUAGCCGACCUGAGAGGGUGAUCGGCCACACUGGAACUGAGACACGGUCCAGACUCCUACGGGAGGCAGCAGUAGGGAAUCUUCCGCAAUGGGCGAAAGCCUGACGGAGCAACGCCGCGUGAGUGAUGAAGGUCUUCGGAUCGUAAAACUCUGUUAUUAGGGAAGAACAUAUGUGUAAGUAACUGUGCACAUCUUGACGGUACCUAAUCAGAAAGCCACGGCUAACUACGUGCCAGCAGCCGCGGUAAUACGUAGGUGGCAAGCGUUAUCCGGAAUUAUUGGGCGUAAAGCGCGCGUAGGCGGUUUUUUAAGUCUGAUGUGAAAGCCCACGGCUCAACCGUGGAGGGUCAUUGGAAACUGGAAAACUUGAGUGCAGAAGAGGAAAGUGGAAUUCCAUGUGUAGCGGUGAAAUGCGCAGAGAUAUGGAGGAACACCAGUGGCGAAGGCGACUUUCUGGUCUGUAACUGACGCUGAUGUGCGAAAGCGUGGGGAUCAAACAGGAUUAGAUACCCUGGUAGUCCACGCCGUAAACGAUGAGUGCUAAGUGUUAGGGGGUUUCCGCCCCUUAGUGCUGCAGCUAACGCAUUAAGCACUCCGCCUGGGGAGUACGACCGCAAGGUUGAAACUCAAAGGAAUUGACGGGGACCCGCACAAGCGGUGGAGCAUGUGGUUUAAUUCGAAGCAACGCGAAGAACCUUACCAAAUCUUGACACCCUUUGACAAUUCUAGAGAUAGAGCCUUCCCCUUCGGGGGACAAAGUGACAGGUGGUGCAUGGUUGUCGUCAGCUCGUGUCGUGAGAUGUUGGGUUAAGUCCCGCAACGAGUGCAACCCUUAAGCUUAGUUGCCAUCAUUAAGUUGGGCACUCUAAGUUGACUGCCGGUGACAAACCGGAGGAAGGUGGGGAUGACGUCAAAUCAUCAUGCCCCUUAUGAUUUGGGCUACACACGUGCUACAAUGGACAAUACAAAGGGCAGCGAAACCGCGAGGUCAAGCAAAUCCCAUAAAGUUGUUCUCAGUUCGGAUUGUAGUCUGCAACUCGACUACAUGAAGCUGGAAUCGCUAGUAAUCGUAGAUCAGCAUGCUACGGUGAAUACGUUCCCGGGUCU
This 1372-nucleotide ribosomal RNA is filed under the name uncultured bacterium. RNAcentral's name for it is "bacterial SSU rRNA". It matches the Rfam family "Bacterial small subunit ribosomal RNA", at positions 28 to 1381 of the family's 1533-position model. The record is from RNAcentral.